Molecule: long non-coding RNA, 2046 nt
Organism: Phyllopteryx taeniolatus (common seadragon)
Lineage: Eukaryota; Metazoa; Chordata; Actinopteri; Syngnathiformes; Syngnathidae
Exons: 4
Source: RefSeq, a predicted model, not a curated record
GCAGUCAAUCAAAAAGCCUGAAGAAAAGUCCGUUCCAAUAUGGCACCAAAGUGAGGAAGUGCAGGGACAUAAAGUGUUGAUUACAAACAGGAGCGGAUUUGAGAAGUUACAAACGUUUUUAUUACAGAAUAUGAACGUGAACUAGAGGAAAUAACGAAGCAAUACCGCUUAGACACGAUCGAGGGGCAGAAAUACACUAAAUUAGUACCUAACCUGCUGGAAAAGAAGAAGAAAAAAGUGAAGGCGGAGGAAGAAAAGGAAUCAUACAGGUGGACUGAAAACGAGGAGCUUUGGUGAAACUAUGGCGGAAUAACCACCUACGGAAAAUAAAAACGACCAUCCCUCAUUUGCCAUUAAUUGGGCAGAAAACAGCAUCAGAGCAAAGGGCUCAGCAGGAGGAGAUAUUGAUAUGUUCUCUCCUUCUUGGAAUUUCGGCCGAUCUUGAAAAGUCAUCACGCUCGGUCGCACGCCAACACGCAAAGAGGAGAACACAUGCAGGCUCCGCGGGGUCUGAUCCCUCCUUUCGGCUCGGCUGCUGGAUUUUCUCCGUCGUGAUCAAACCAAGGAGGCCGUGUUUCGUGUUACAUCGUCCCCCCCUUCUGAACCCCGUUCUUAUGAUUAUAGAAGCGGUUUUACAUUCAACAUGGGUUUGCGGCCGAAGGUGCCAUGCCGCCAUUGAACAGUUUUCCCAUGCAGCCUCUGUGUUGACAUGGGGCCUCCUGAGGCAGCGGUCUGUCAGUGUCAUUCUUCACGACCAUUGGACCGCAGGUUCCUGACUGAAGACAGAGAGAGGAAAUGACUUAGUUUUUUUUUUUUUUUUGUUUAAACUGCACUGACUGGACAGGAAGGGGCACCUUUGUGCAGAACCCCAACUCGUGGGGUUUAUUCUCUUCAUAUCGCCGCAUAUUGACCUUUUGGCUUUGUUUGACAGCUUUUCCUGAAUCGAAGUGAACUGAAGUGGGGGGAAAGAAGCCCGUUAUGUUUUCAUUCAUUUGUUUGAUCAUCAUUGAAAAAGUGUGAAAUGUGCAAUUUGAUUGUAUCUAAUUGAGUGUUAAAUAAAGUAUGUGGUACUAAUCAUCUACUAGUAUCCAGCAAUUCACAGACAGGUUCAAGUGGACGUUAUGGAAAAUGUAAAUGUUACUUGCUUGUAUAUAAACAGGUGACGCGGUGAGCGACUGGUUAGCACAUCUGCCUCACAGUUCUCAGGAGCGGGGUUCAAAUCCCGGCCCCGCCUGUGUGGAGUUUGCAUGUUCCCCCCCGUGCCUGCGUGGGUUUUCUACGGGAACUCCGGUUUCCUCCCACAUCCCCAAAACAUGCUUGCUAGGUUGAUUGAAGACUCUAAAUUGCCCGUAGGUGUGAAUGUGAAUGGUGGUUUGUCUAUAUGUGCCCAGCGAUUGGCUGGCGACCAGUUCAGGGCGUACCCCGCCUCUCACCCAGAGUCGGUUGGGGUAGGCUCCAGCACGCCCGUUACAGAUAAUGGAUUGAUGGAUGUAGACAAAUAGCUGGGUCUCUGGAGUGCGUCCCCACCCGCUAAAGGUAAAAUUAAGCAACUGAGUGAAUCUUUUGUUAUUUGCCUAUUUUUAAAAAUGUAUCUGUGCCCCACUGUUAAUUUACAUAAGGACGCCCCCCCCCACACCAAGUUUCUCCACCUAUGACAUAACGAGCUAGGCUAGACGGAGAUCCAGAGCCACUAACCAGAGCUGUUACGAUUUUUGUUGGAUGCACAUAAUGUCAUUCUUAAUAAGCGGCACAUGCGUGAUUGCUCGGUGUAGUUGUGGAUGCGGUGGAGGGGCGGGUUAACUCGUGUUUGGUGAUGUGUCCAUGUGCCGCAUACACACAUGUAUGCGGCACAUGUUUGGACCACUUGUUUUCUUUUAUAGGAGCUUAGUUUCCACACUCUGGGCUCUAAAUUGCCAUUAGCUUAGCAGUGUAUUGGGUGCGGUAUACAGGUGCUCACUCGCUGGAGACAGGUUCGGGAUGUUUCAGCAAGAUAAGGAAUAGAGUGUGUAAAAUGCACAAUAAUUCUUCAUCUUAGGUGUAUUUCAA